Non-coding RNA from Pelobates cultripes (western spadefoot toad), 113 nucleotides. The record is from the annotation of a GenBank genome assembly. Lineage: Eukaryota; Metazoa; Chordata; Amphibia; Anura; Pelobatidae.
GAGAAUUACCCCCAUGAUGGCACUGGCGGAACUACCGCGGUCGCAGCUGUGACCGGGCCCGUCAUUCCUGCGACCGGGGUAGUUCCUCCAGUGCCAUCAUGGGGGUAAUUCUC